UCGCCUGUUUAUCAAAAACAUGGUUUCUUGAUUAUAUUAUAAGAGAUUUGACCUGCCCGCUGAAAAAUUUUUGAAGGGCCGCAGUAUUUUGACUGUGCAAAGGUAGCAUAAUCAUUAGUCUUUUAAUUGAAGGCUGGUAUGAAUGGUUGGAUGAGGUGAAUUCUGUUUUAUAUUAAUAAUAUUGAAUUUAGAAUUUAAGUAAAAAGACUUAAAUAGUAUUAAGGGACGAGAAGACCCUAUAGAGUUUGAUAAAUGUAGAAGUUAAUUGAGUUAAAAUUAAAGAAAUUUUUAAUUACUAUAAAAUUUAUUUGAUUGGGGUGACUAGAAGAUAUACAAAACUCUUCUUUAAAUUUAAUAUUAUAAUUAGUUUUAUGAUCCAUAUUUAAUGAUUGAAAGAUUAAAUUACCUUAGGGAUAACAGCAUAAUUCUUUUUAAGAGUUCAUAUCGAAAAAAGAGAUUGUGACCUCGAUGUUGGAUUAAGAUUAGUUUUGGGUGUAGACGUUCAAUAACUAGGUCUGUUCGACCUUAAAAAUCUUACAUGAUCUGAGUUCAAACCGGAGA
Molecule: ribosomal RNA, 561 nt
Filed under: Archimantis sobrina
Lineage: Eukaryota; Metazoa; Arthropoda; Insecta; Mantodea; Mantidae
Description: partial 16S ribosomal RNA
Rfam family: Bacterial large subunit ribosomal RNA
Source: RNAcentral